UACGAAGGGGGCUAGCGUUGCUCGGAAUCACUGGGCGUAAAGCGCACGUAGGCGGCUUUUUAAGUCAGGGGUGAAAUCCUGGAGCUCAACUCCAGAACUGCCUUUGAUACUGAAGAGCUUGAGUCCGGGAGAGGUGAGUGGAACUGCGAGUGUAGAGGUGAAAUUCGUAGAUAUUCGCAAGAACACCAGUGGCGAAGGCGGCUCACUGGCCCGGUACUGACGCUGAGGUGCGAAAGCGUGGGGAGCAAACAGG
RNAcentral lists this ribosomal RNA (253 nucleotides) under uncultured bacterium. RNAcentral describes it as "partial 16S ribosomal RNA". It matches the Rfam family "Bacterial small subunit ribosomal RNA", at positions 524 to 776 of the family's 1533-position model. The record is from RNAcentral.